This 379-nucleotide unclassified non-coding RNA is filed under the name uncultured Oligoflexales bacterium. Its description in RNAcentral is "contains 16S-23S intergenic spacer region". The record is from RNAcentral. Lineage: Bacteria; Pseudomonadati; Bdellovibrionota; Oligoflexia; Oligoflexales.
UCCGUGUUAACCACGGCAGUCUGUCUAGAGUGCCCAACUUAAUGCUGGCAACUAAACACAGGGGUUGCGCUCGUUGAGGGACUUAACCCGACAUGCCACCACACGAGCUGACGACAGCCAUGCAGCACCUGUCUCUUUGUCAUAUUGCUAUGAAAGCUACAUCUCUGUAGUUGUCAAAGGAUGUCAAACCUAGGUAAGGUUCUGCGCGUUGCUUCGAAUUAAACCACAUAAUCCACCGCUUGUGCGGGCUCCCGUCAAUUCCUUUGAGUUUUAGUCUUGCGACCGUACUUCCCAGGCGCGGUACUUAUCGCGUUAGCUCCGAGUCCGCAGGGGUCAACUCCCACGAACUCUAGUACCGAUCGUUUACAGCGUGGACUAC